This 497-nucleotide ribosomal RNA is filed under the name uncultured bacterium. RNAcentral's name for it is "partial 16S ribosomal RNA". It matches the Rfam family "Bacterial small subunit ribosomal RNA", at positions 28 to 507 of the family's 1533-position model. The record is from RNAcentral.
GAUGAACGCUGGCGGCGUGCCUAAUACAUGCAAGUCGAGCGAACAGACGAGGAGCUUGCUCCUUCGACGUUAGCGGCGGACGGGUGAGUAACACGUAGGUAACCUACCUAUAAGACUGGGAUAACUUCGGGAAACCGGAGCUAAUACCGGAUAAUAUUUCGAACCGCAUGGUUCGAUAGUGAAAGAUGGCUUUGCUAUCACUUAUAGAUGGACCUGCGCCGUAUUAGCUAGUUGGUAAGGUAACGGCUUACCAAGGCAACGAUACGUAGCCGACCUGAGAGGGUGAUCGGCCACACUGGAACUGAGACACGGUCCAGACUCCUACGGCAGGCAGCAGUAGGGAAUCUUCCGCAAUGGGCGAAAGCCUGACGGAGCAACGCCGCGUGAGUGAUGAAGGUCUUCGGAUCGUAAAACUCUGUUAUUAGGGAAGAACAAACGUGUAAGUAACUGUGCACGUCUUGACGGUACCUAAUCAGAAAGCCACGGCUAACUACGUG